Molecule: ribosomal RNA, 253 nt
Filed under: uncultured bacterium
Lineage: Bacteria
Description: partial 16S ribosomal RNA
Rfam family: Bacterial small subunit ribosomal RNA
Source: RNAcentral
UACGGAGAGCACGAGCGUUACCCGGAAUUACUGGGCGUAGAGGGUGCGUAGGCGGCCGAUUAACUUGUGUGUGAAAAGCUCUGGCUUACCCAGAGCCCUGCACGCAAAAAUGAUCGGCUAGAGGGCGCUAGAGGUGAGCGGAAUUCCAGGUGUAGCGGUGAAAUGCGUUGAUAUCUGGAGGAACGCCGAAGGUGCAGACAGCUCACUGGGGCGCUCCUGACGCUGAGGCACGAAAGCUGGGGGAGCAAACCGG